AAAAGUGAUUCUAGGUAUUGGCUAAUUUCACCUAUUACGUACCUAUAAAUAGUGAAAUAUCACAGUACUGCACAUUCAUAUAUGAGUUCGAUUAAUUUGAGGUUCAUUUUACUCGUAGCUAAAUUAAUAUUAGGUACGUUUUGAAAGUUAGUGAUCACGAAAAUAAAAAACAAAAUGAAAGUCACAGUCAUCGCACUCUUGGUGGUACUUACACUCUACGUUUUCACGGUAAUGGCACAAGAAAAUGGUCCUGAAUCAUCAGAUACGAGUGCUAAACAAACAGACGCUCAACAAACAGAUACUGAUACUAAUUCAACAAACACACUGGGACAAUCAGUUCCUCCAAACCCAGAUUCCAAAAAUUCAACAACGGAAAAAAAGGAAAAAUCAAAACCCCAAAAAAAGAAAGGUUUACUGGGCUUAGGUAUAUUGGGCCUAUAAUAGGGCUCAUCAUCAUCAGUGAGCUACACAAGUAAACAGCUUCACUCAAAAGGGAAGUUUCGUCGAAAUUAAUCCGUACUAUUUUAUGCUUAAGUUAUUCAUGUUUCAUUCAACGUCUACAAAAAAUAGAAGUGCAAAUUUUUGAAGAAAUUGUGAAGUGUUCAAAUGUUUGUGAUAAAAUUAUGGUUUUAUUGAUAUUCUACUAAUUACACAAUACGUUAAAGAUACUUACAGCGUUCGCUUAAGUUUAUUUCAUUGUCUACUUACAGCACAACAAAUGCAUUUUCAUGUUAUUUU
Molecule: long non-coding RNA, 738 nt
Organism: Planococcus citri (citrus mealybug)
Lineage: Eukaryota; Metazoa; Arthropoda; Insecta; Hemiptera; Pseudococcidae
Exons: 2
Source: RefSeq, a predicted model, not a curated record